ACUCUAUACUGAGAUCCGAUAGCAAGCUGUACUUGUACAGCGAAGUGGCUGAUACCAUGCUUCCAGGAAAAGUCUCUAAGCUUCAGUUACACAGGAAUCGUACCCGAAACCGACACAGGUGGUCAGGUCGAGUAGACCAAGGCGCUUGAGAGAACUCUGCUGAAGGAACUAGGCAAAAUGGUACCGUAACUUCGGGAGAAGGUACGCUGUUGUUGGUGAUGGAACUUGCUUCCUGAGCUGAUGACAGCCGCAGAAACCAGGCCGCUGCAACUGUUUAUUAAAAACAUAGCAC
This 292-nucleotide ribosomal RNA is filed under the name Acinetobacter nosocomialis. RNAcentral's name for it is "partial 23S ribosomal RNA". It matches the Rfam family "Bacterial large subunit ribosomal RNA", at positions 1548 to 1821 of the family's 2925-position model. Lineage: Bacteria; Pseudomonadati; Pseudomonadota; Gammaproteobacteria; Moraxellales; Moraxellaceae. The record is from RNAcentral.